GCGUCUGUAGCUCAGUUGGGUAGAGCACUGCCUUGACGUGGCAGUGGUCAGUGGUUCGAGUCCACUCAGACGCACCA
This 77-nucleotide transfer RNA is filed under the name Candidatus Arsenophonus melophagi. Its description in RNAcentral is "tRNA-Val". It matches the Rfam family "tRNA". From Rfam's summary of the family: Transfer RNA (tRNA) molecules are approximately 80 nucleotides in length. Their secondary structure includes four short double-helical elements and three loops (D, anti-codon, and T loops). Lineage: Bacteria; Pseudomonadati; Pseudomonadota; Gammaproteobacteria; Enterobacterales; Morganellaceae. The record is from RNAcentral.